Molecule: non-coding RNA, 542 nt
Organism: Kogia breviceps (pygmy sperm whale)
Lineage: Eukaryota; Metazoa; Chordata; Mammalia; Artiodactyla; Physeteridae
Source: RefSeq, a predicted model, not a curated record
ACCAGCCCACAGAUCCCUUGAUUAUAGAGCUUUGGGCUUUAAAACGGACUGUUUGAUUAUCUCCCCAAGAGACUGCAGGCUCCGGGAAAGAAGAACUCAAGUGUCUGCGGCUCACCUCCCAAAGGGAGCAGUAUCUCUACCUGCUGCCCCAUCCGGCUCCGUCCGUGAGAAAGCAGAUGGAGGAGGGUUGCUGGGUCAGCCGUCAGGUGCGACCCCACGCCUCUGCAGGGCUCCCCCCUCGUUGCCAGCAUCCUGGCAUGUGGAACACGGUGCAGGGAUUCAGAUGCACCGUGGCUUACGUUCCGGGGACACGAACCAAGGGACUCGAACACAGGUAGCAGUGCCGCUUGAGGAUGUCAGGGCAGGGCUGACAGCCUUUCAUAAGUCAAGGAUUCAGCAGUGUCUAUCACAAACCUUUCCUUCUCUCUGGUUGCCUGAGAUUUUUGUCACGAGACGUCUGGGAUCCUGAUGAGUCACUAGGGACGUGAAAUCAUAACUAGAAGAAACGCCACCAAUGAAACAAUGUGUCACAGCUCAGCGUA